GAGGACCGAACCGACUAAUGUUGAAAAAUUAGCGGAUGACCUGUGGCUGGGGGUGAAAGGCCAAUCAAACCGGGAGAUAGCUGGUUCUCCCCGAAAGCUAUUUAGGUAGCGCCUCGUGAAUUCAUCUCCGGGGGUAGAGCACUGUUUCGGCUAGGGGGCCAUCCCGGCUUACCAACCCGAUGCAAACUGCGAAUACCGGAGAAUGUUAUCACGGGAGACACACGGCGGGUGCUAACGUCCGUCGUGAAGAGGGAAACAACCCAGACCGCCAGCUAAGGUCCCAAAGUCAUGGUUAAGUGGGAAACGAUGUGGGAAGGCCCAGACAGCCAGGAUGUUGGCUUAGAAGCAGCCAUCAUUUAAAGAAAGCGUAAUAGCUCACUGGUCGAGUCGGCCUGCGCGGAAGAUGUAACGGGGCUAAACCAUGCACCGAAGCUGCGGCAGCGAACGUAUCACCCAAGACAACUUUACGGAGUUGACGAUUGACGGAGCGAAGCGACGUCAAAGCGUUCAUUAAAGUCGAGUUGGCUUAGGGAUACGUUCGUUGGGUAGGGGAGCGUUCUGUAAGCCUGUGAAGGUGUGUCGUGAGGCAUGCUGGAGGUAUCAGAAGUGCGAAUGCUGACAUAAGUAACGAUAAAGCGGGUGAAAAGCCCGCUCGCCGGAAGACCAAGGGUUCCUGUCCAACGUUAAUCGGGGCAGGGUGAGUCGACCCCUAAGGCGAGGCCGAAAGGCGUAGUCGAUGGGAAACGGGUUAAUAUUCCCGUACUUGGUGUUACUGCGAAGGGGGGACGGAGAAGGCUAUGUUGGCCGGGCGACGGUUGUCCCGGUUUAAGCGUGUAGGUGUGUGUUCCAGGUAAAUCCGGUUCACUUUAACACUGAGGCGUGACGACGAGGCACUACGGUGCUGAAGCAACAAAUGCCCUGCUUCCAGGAAAAGCCUCUAAGCAUCAGGUAACAUCAAAUCGUACCCCAAACCGACACAGGUGGUCAGGUAGAGAAUACCAAGGCGCUUGAGAGAACUCGGGUGAAGGAACUAGGCAAAAUGGUGCCGUAACUUCGGGAGAAGGCACGCUGACACGUAGGUGAAGUGAUUUACUCAUGGAGCUGAAGUCAGUCGAAGAUACCAGCUGGCUGCAACUGUUUAUUAAAAACACAGCACUGUGCAAACACGAAAGUGGACGUAUACGGUGUGACGCCUGCCCGGUGCCGGAA
This 1209-nucleotide ribosomal RNA is filed under the name Salmonella enterica subsp. enterica serovar Typhimurium. RNAcentral describes it as "partial 23S ribosomal RNA". It matches the Rfam family "Bacterial large subunit ribosomal RNA", at positions 769 to 1874 of the family's 2925-position model. Lineage: Bacteria; Pseudomonadati; Pseudomonadota; Gammaproteobacteria; Enterobacterales; Enterobacteriaceae. The record is from RNAcentral.